GGUCGUAUAGCUCAGUUGGUUAGAGCGCAGCAUUCAUAAUGCUGAUGUCCCAGGUUCAAGUCCCGGUACGACCACCA
Molecule: transfer RNA, 77 nt
Filed under: Rhodoferax sp.
Lineage: Bacteria; Pseudomonadati; Pseudomonadota; Betaproteobacteria; Burkholderiales; Comamonadaceae
Also listed under: 1 other name
Description: tRNA-Met
Rfam family: tRNA
About the family: Transfer RNA (tRNA) molecules are approximately 80 nucleotides in length. Their secondary structure includes four short double-helical elements and three loops (D, anti-codon, and T loops). Further hydrogen bonds mediate the characteristic L-shaped molecular structure. tRNAs have two regions of fundamental functional importance: the anti-codon, which is responsible for specific mRNA codon recognition, and the 3' end, to which the tRNAs corresponding amino acid is attached (by aminoacyl-tRNA synthetases). tRNAs cope with the degeneracy of the genetic code in two manners: having more than one tRNA (with a specific anti-codon) for a particular amino acid; and 'wobble' base-pairing, i.e. permitting non-standard base-pairing at the 3rd anti-codon position.
Source: RNAcentral